This 475-nucleotide ribosomal RNA is filed under the name uncultured organism. RNAcentral's name for it is "partial 16S ribosomal RNA". It matches the Rfam family "Bacterial small subunit ribosomal RNA", at positions 335 to 801 of the family's 1533-position model. The record is from RNAcentral.
ACUCCUACGGGAGGCAGCAGUGGGGAAUUUUGGACAAUGGGGGCAACCCUGAUCCAGCAAUGCCGCGUGAGUGAAGAAGGCCUUCGGGUUGUAAAGCUCUUUUGUCAGGGAAGAAACGGUGGUGGCGAAUAACUACUACUAAUGACGGUACCUGAAGAAUAAGCACCGGCUAACUACGUGCCAGCAGCCGCGGUAAUACGUAGGGUGCAAGCGUUAAUCGGAAUUACUGGGCGUAAAGCGUGCGCAGGCGGUUGUGUAAGUCAGAUGUGAAAUCCCCGGGCUCAACCUGGGAAUUGCAUUUGAGACUGCACGGCUAGAGUGUGUCAGAGGGGGGUAGAAUUCCACGUGUAGCAGUGAAAUGCGUAGAUAUGUGGAGGAAUACCGAUGGCGAAGGCAGCCCCCUGGGAUAACACUGACGCUCAUGCACGAAAGCGUGGGGAGCAAACAGGAUUAGAAACCCGUGUAGUCCCAUGAU